This 1360-nucleotide long non-coding RNA is filed under the name Bemisia tabaci. RNAcentral's name for it is "lncRNA ENSSSA1UGG002478". The record is from RNAcentral. Lineage: Eukaryota; Metazoa; Arthropoda; Insecta; Hemiptera; Aleyrodidae.
CUGAUUGUGACGGCGUCCAAAGCAUCGUCUCACUGCGACUUUUGCCCUUCAAAAUGACUGAAUACGGCCUCAGCAUGACAAGUCUGACGUCACCACUGGAUUUUUCGCGCCACCGGCGUCAGCCGCAGAGGGAAUCGAACCCAGAACCUCGAGAAGCACACCUUCCUUCCGCCUCGGUGCUUGAUCUGCGGGUUAGGAAAGUUGGAGAAGCAACCGACCAAGAUUGCAGGAGCAUGUUCGAAGCCUACGUGGCGAACGCAGGGACCCCCCCUUCACCGGCCACCCCCACGAGGGCUUCCCGCUCGACGAGCGAGUCCACGGACGACUCGGGCCCUCGCUCACCAUCGCCCCCGCAUUUUCAAAAUUCCCGCCAAAACGCGGCACCCGCAAUCGCCCCGAGGCAUGGGCUCGGACUAAACGCCCCUCUCUACGUGAACACGGCCACUGACGGCCCCCAGAGGCCCUCUGUCCCCGAUCCGAGGGCGCCUUUGUCGCCUGCCGCCCAACAUUCACCCACGCUACAGGUAAAUAUAUGUUUUAAAAUUUUUUUUUUUUUUGGAGAGUUUUUUGGCUUCUAUUCCUUUGUUAUAAAUCUUUAGGAAUCUACAGCCAUCUAUAGACGCUAUUUGGACGUAUUUAUGCGAAAAGGAGAUAUGUGCAAGUGGAAAGAUGGGGUGUGCUCGUUAGUUGGGUCAUAAGAAACAAUGUAACAGUGGAUAUAGUUCCUUUUGAGAAAAUUGAAAAACGGGAUUUGACAUUAAAUCAAAAGGAGCUAAGCGCCAAAAUAUGCUAACUCAUGAGCCGCGGGCAUGGCAAGAGAGCGUUGUGGACAGGGCUCAUGAGUUAAUGCUCGACGACGGCGAUUUCCCCGUCGCGCCUCCGCUUUUUCAUUGCCGCUGAUGUCGCUGGCGCUUUAUAUUCCCCAUUCAUUCUUAUGGCCCGGCCACUAACGAGCACACCCCAUCUUUCCACUUCCACAUAUCUCCUUUUCGCAUAAAUACGUCCAUUUAUUGUCCUUAGACAUCAGGGAGAUGGACAUCCAUGCUCAGGCUUACAAAUUUUCACGGAUUAAGGCCGAGUGAAUUCCACUUGCAGAUCCAUUCGUCAGUUCCACGGAAAUUUGUCGCCAUUUAGGCUUACAAAUUUCCGGGGAUUAAGGCCGAGCGAAUUCUGCUUGCAGAUCCACUCGUCAGUUCCAUGAAAAUUUGUCGCCAUCACCGGGAUUCGAAUCCGGGACCUAUUGACCUAGAGUCAGACGCGCUGACCACUAGGCCAACCUGGCCGGCGUGUUUUAAAAUUUCAGCCUUUAAAAAAGUCCACGAUGAAGGGGCGCCCAGGGAAAGGGUGGCGACAAGGGGUU